RNAcentral lists this ribosomal RNA (253 nucleotides) under uncultured bacterium. RNAcentral describes it as "partial 16S ribosomal RNA". It matches the Rfam family "Bacterial small subunit ribosomal RNA", at positions 524 to 776 of the family's 1533-position model. The record is from RNAcentral.
UACAGAGGGUGCGAGCGUUGUUCGGAAUUAUUGGGCGUAAAGGGCUCGUAGGCGGUCUGUCGCGUCGGGAGUGAAAACUCAGGGCUUAACCCUGAGCCUGCUUCCGAUACGGGCAGACUAGAGGUAUGCAGGGGAGAACGGAAUUCCUGGUGUAGCGGUGGAAUGCGCAGAUAUCAGGAGGAACACCGGUGGCGAAGGCGGUUCUCUGGGCAUUACCUGACGCUGAGGAGCGAAAGUGUGGGGAGCGAACAGG